Molecule: small nucleolar RNA, 72 nt
Organism: Equus asinus (donkey)
Lineage: Eukaryota; Metazoa; Chordata; Mammalia; Perissodactyla; Equidae
Source: Ensembl
UGGACCAAUGAUGACCACUGGUGGCGUAUGAGUCAUGGAUGAUGAAUACGUGUCUGGAACUCUGAGGUCCAG